RNAcentral lists this ribosomal RNA (529 nucleotides) under uncultured bacterium. RNAcentral's name for it is "bacterial SSU rRNA". It matches the Rfam family "Bacterial small subunit ribosomal RNA", at positions 345 to 867 of the family's 1533-position model. The record is from RNAcentral.
GAGGCAGCAGUAGGGAAUCUUCCGCAAUGGACGACAGUCUGAUGUAGCAACACCGCGUGAAUGAUGAAGGUCUUCCGAUCGUAAAACUCUGUUGUUACGGAAGAACUAGUAUGCGAUUAACUGCUCGUACCUUGACGGUACCUAACCAGAAAGCCCCGGCUAACUACGUGCCAGCAGCCGCGGUAAUACGUAGGUGGCAAGCGUUGUCCGGAAUUAUUGGGCGUAAAGCGCGCGCAGGCGGUCCUUUAAGUCUCAUGUGAAAGCUCACGGCUCUACCGUGGAGGGUCAUUGGAAACUGCGGGACUUGAGUGCAGGAGAGAAGAGUGGAAUUCCACGUGUAGCGGUGAAAUGCGUAGAGAUGUGGAGGAACACCAGUGGCGAAGGCGACUCUCUGGCCCGUAACUGACGCUGAGGCGCGAAAGCGUGGGGAGCAAACACGAUUAGAUACCCUGGUAGUCCACGCCCUAAACGAUGAGUGCUAAGUGUUAGAGGGUCUCCRCCCUUCAGUGCCGCAGCAACGCGUAAGCAU